GGUGAUGUGGCUUGGCGGCAGAGCUCUUGCCUUGCAUGCACAAGGCUCUGGGUUUGAUCCCCAGCAACACAC
This 72-nucleotide transfer RNA is filed under the name Cavia porcellus (domestic guinea pig). It matches the Rfam family "tRNA". Rfam says of the family: Transfer RNA (tRNA) molecules are approximately 80 nucleotides in length. Their secondary structure includes four short double-helical elements and three loops (D, anti-codon, and T loops). Lineage: Eukaryota; Metazoa; Chordata; Mammalia; Rodentia; Caviidae. The record is from Rfam by way of RNAcentral.